This 253-nucleotide ribosomal RNA is filed under the name uncultured bacterium. RNAcentral describes it as "partial 16S ribosomal RNA". It matches the Rfam family "Bacterial small subunit ribosomal RNA", at positions 524 to 776 of the family's 1533-position model. The record is from RNAcentral.
UACAGAGGUCUCAAGCGUUGUUCGGAUUCAUUGGGCGUAAAGGGUGCGUAGGUGGCGCAGUAAGUCGGGUGUGAAAUCCUGAGGCUUAACCUCGGAACUGCAUUCGAUACUGCUGUGCUUGAGGACUGGAGAGGAGACUGGAAUUCAUGGUGUAGCAGUGAAAUGCGUAGAGAUCAUGAGGAAGACCAGUGGCGAAGGCGGGUCUCUGGACAGUUCCUGACACUGAGGCACGAAGGCCAGGGGAGCAAACGGG